GCCUACGGGGGGCAGCAGUAGGGAAUCUUCCACAAUGGGCGAAAGCCUGAUGGAGCAACGCCGCGUGGGUGAAGAAGGUCUUCGGAUCGUAAAACCCUGUUGUUAGGGAAGAAAGUGCGUGAGAGUAACUGUUCACGUUUCGACGGUAUCUAACCAGAAAGCCACGGCUAACUACGUGCCAGCAGCCGCGGUAAUACGUAGGUGGCAAGCGUUAUCCGGAUUUAUUGGGCGUAAAGGGAACGCAGGCGGUCUUUUAAGUCUGAUGUGAAAGCCUUCGGCUUAACCGGAGUAGUGCAUUGGAAACU
Molecule: ribosomal RNA, 305 nt
Filed under: uncultured bacterium
Lineage: Bacteria
Description: bacterial SSU rRNA
Rfam family: Bacterial small subunit ribosomal RNA
Source: RNAcentral